This is a small nuclear RNA of Rattus norvegicus (Norway rat), 107 nucleotides long. Lineage: Eukaryota; Metazoa; Chordata; Mammalia; Rodentia; Muridae. The record is from Ensembl.
GUGCUCACUUCGGCAGCACGUAGACUGAGAGUCAGAAUGAUACAGAGAAGAUCGGCAUGGCUUCUGUGAAGGAUGACACUCAAAUUCAUGAAGCGUUCCAUAUAUUU